GUGGAUAUAGCGCAGCUGGUUAGCGCGUCAGAUUGUGGCUCUGAAGGCCCAGGGUUCGAAUCCCUGUAUCCACC
RNAcentral lists this transfer RNA (74 nucleotides) under Lachnospiraceae bacterium. RNAcentral describes it as "tRNA-His". It matches the Rfam family "tRNA". Rfam says of the family: Transfer RNA (tRNA) molecules are approximately 80 nucleotides in length. Their secondary structure includes four short double-helical elements and three loops (D, anti-codon, and T loops). Further hydrogen bonds mediate the characteristic L-shaped molecular structure. tRNAs have two regions of fundamental functional importance: the anti-codon, which is responsible for specific mRNA codon recognition, and the 3' end, to which the tRNAs corresponding amino acid is attached (by aminoacyl-tRNA synthetases). tRNAs cope with the degeneracy of the genetic code in two manners: having more than one tRNA (with a specific anti-codon) for a particular amino acid; and 'wobble' base-pairing, i.e. permitting non-standard base-pairing at the 3rd anti-codon position. The record is from RNAcentral. Lineage: Bacteria; Bacillati; Bacillota; Clostridia; Lachnospirales; Lachnospiraceae.